ACUCCUACGGGAGGCAGCAGUGGGGAAUAUUGCACAAUGGGGGAAACCCUGAUGCAGCGACGCCGCGUGAGCGAAGAAGUAUUUCGGUAUGUAAAGCUCUAUCAGCAGGGAAGAAGAAAUGACGGUACCUGACUAAGAAGCACCGGCUAAAUACGUGCCAGCAGCCGCGGUAAUACGUAUGGUGCAAGCGUUAUCCGGAUUUACUGGGUGUAAAGGGAGCGCAGGCGGUACGGCAAGUCUGAUGUGAAAGCCCGGGGCUCAACCCCGGUACUGCAUUGGAAACUGUCGGACUAGAGUGUCGGAGGGGUAAGUGGAAUUCCUAGUGUAGCGGUGAAAUGCGUAGAUAUUAGGAGGAACACCAGUGGCGAAGGCGGCUUACUGGACGAUUACUGACGCUGAGGCUCGAAAGCGUGGGGAGCAAACAGGAUUAGAUACCCUGGUAGUCCACGCCGUAA
Molecule: ribosomal RNA, 455 nt
Filed under: uncultured bacterium
Lineage: Bacteria
Description: bacterial SSU rRNA
Rfam family: Bacterial small subunit ribosomal RNA
Source: RNAcentral